Musa acuminata subsp. malaccensis (wild Malaysian banana) is the source of this 1623-nucleotide non-coding RNA. The record is from RefSeq and is a predicted model, not a curated record. NCBI's taxonomy places the organism in Eukaryota, Viridiplantae, Streptophyta, Magnoliopsida, Zingiberales, Musaceae.
CCUCUCUCCCGCGAUUUCCCGGAGUCGGCUCACUUCGCAAGAGCUCGGAUCGAGGGGUUCUCCUUCGCAGAAGAGGAAGGGAUUCAUGGAGGACGACACCCGGAGCCGCGUGUCCGACGCCUCCAAGCACCAACAGCUCGCUCUGCAGUCCCGAUACGAUGUGUACCUUGGGUCGGAGGACAUGGAUGGCGGGGAGGACGACUCACGGCCAGAGUUCACCUGCCCGUUCUGUUCCGAGGGCUUCGAUAUCGUGGGACUGUGUUGCCACAUCGAUGACGAACACCCGAUCGAGGCUAGGAACGGGGUGUGUCCUCUUUGUGCAGCUAGGGCUGGCAUGGACAUGGUUGGCCACAUAAUGACAGAGCAUGCAAAUUUAUUAAUAGUACGGCAAAGGAGGAGGUUUUGCAAAGGUUCCUUGGGGCAUUACUCCACACUCUUAUUGUUGAAAAAGGAUCUACGUGAUGGCACUCUUCAGUCACUUGGGGGUUCUUUUGCUCCAUCCAACGUGGCACCUGAUCCACUACUGUCAUCAUUUAUUUUUAAUUUGCCUGACAUCGAUCCAUCAAAAGAUGCACGACCUGAAUCCUUGGAUGAAGGAAGUAUGGUUGACAAAACUUCAGAUGAGAAAUUGGUUCAGAGCGUUGUGCCAUCUCCGAUAUACAAAGAUCAGGUAGAGAGUACUCGAAGGAGUGAGUUUGUGAGGCAGAUUGUGAUCUCCACCGUAUUCGACGAAGAUGCAUUAUGAAGAUACCUAACACUCAUGUUGGAAUGAGCAGCAGAUGGUGCAAAAAUCUCAAGUUGGUUGGUGGUUGCUGCCAUGUUGAUACCAAAAGUGAACAAGAGAUUCUUAUACACGAUAUAUACAAGAUUCAAGCAUGGAAUGUCUUAUAAAUGGUUGUAGUAUCUAUUUUAUCACCCAUAUUAGGGGACCGAAGUAGGGUGUUUUCAAGCAUUCUUGUGUAUGAUAGAAUAUAAAUAGCUGCUUGCUGUCUCGUUUCUGAAGACAUUAUUCGUCCUGGAUAUUGGACUGAGGUUUUUGUAAUAUGUUCUUUUAGCUAACUUGUCUGAACUAAGUUGAUCGGUGCAGGUUGCAUAUGAUCAAAUAGCAGUUCGGUCAAGCUAAGAACAUCAAUCAAGCAACCUGGAACAGUCAAUGUGUAUGUAAGGAACUCCACGAUUAGGAGUUGGUCAUUUAUCAUCAUUACUCCAUGCACAAGUAUUGCUCAAAGAUGGAGUUGAUGAGGUACUGCGGGCAGGCGGGCACGUGAUCCAAGUGAGGAGGGUUUUAGUCCCACAUCGCCACGGCACAGAAGGAACACAGGAGGGAGCGUUAUAAGAGAAGAGCGAGGGGCGGCUGUUUUCCAUACUUACCUGGACGGGGUCGAUGGGCGAUCAAGAAGGCUCAUGGCCUAGGUCAGCGGCUUCCAUUGCACUUGGGAGGCGCGCUGGCUUACCAUCUCCCCAAGUGGGAGAGUGGACGUCAUAAUUUGUGGUAGAGGGGGUACGCGUACGCGCGGCCCCUGCCAAGGCAAAUCGUAAGAUAUUUGGGAGAAUUAUUUUGCAUUAAAUUGUACCCGAUAAUAGAUAAAUCUUUAAAAUAUUACAUCUUUUUUAUCCUGAUAA